GACGAACGCUGGCGGCGUGCCUAAUACAUGCAAGUCGAACGAAGCUGUUUUAACUGGUGCUUGCACCGACUUAAACAACUGAGUGGCGAACGGGUGAGUAACACGUGGGUAACCUGCCCCAAAGCGGGGGAUAACAUUUGGAAACAGAUGCUAAUACCGCAUAACCACAGAAACCACAUGGUUUCUGUGUCAAAGAUGGUUUCGGCUAUCACUUUGGGAUGGACCCGCGGCGUAUUAGCUAGUUGGUAAGGUAAUGGCUUACCAAGGCAAUGAUACGUGGCCGAACUGAGAGGUUGGUCGGCCACAUUGGGACUGAGACACGGCCCAAACGCCUACGGGAGGCAGCAGUAGGGAAUCUUCCACAAUGGACGAAAGUCUGAUGGAGCAACGCCGCGUGAGUGAAGAAGGUUUUCGGAUCGUAAAACUCUGUUGUCAGAGAAGAACGUGUGCGAGAGUAACUGCUCGUGCAGUGACGGUAUCUGGCCAGAAAGCCACGGCUAACUACGUGCCAGCCGCCGCAGUAA
RNAcentral lists this ribosomal RNA (524 nucleotides) under uncultured bacterium. RNAcentral describes it as "partial 16S ribosomal RNA". It matches the Rfam family "Bacterial small subunit ribosomal RNA", at positions 28 to 523 of the family's 1533-position model. The record is from RNAcentral.